Oryzias javanicus (javanese ricefish) is the source of this 1762-nucleotide long non-coding RNA. Lineage: Eukaryota; Metazoa; Chordata; Actinopteri; Beloniformes; Adrianichthyidae. The record is from Ensembl.
UGCAUCAACCCAGUAUUGAGCUAGGAUGGAUCUUGCCUGGCAACAACCAAUCCAUGUGUACUAACACCAUAUUAAGCAUUCAAACCUUAAACUAACCCAACCCGUGUAACUAAGGACAUCCUGAAUGAAAUGAAAGGAGGUGAACAGCCAGAAGCACUCCAGAGAAGGUGGACUUCUGUCACUGCUCUCCUUGCAAGAAAUCCCACUCAGGGUCUCGACUAUUUUGUUAUAUAUCUCGUGUUUUCAGAAAUAACCUUAACACUGAAUGUUAAAAAAAUUAUACAUUGGGUGAAGACUUACAUGUGUUAGUAGAUCAGGUUUUUGAAAUACUUAUCGGUCAAAACUCUAGAACAAAGGAUGGAUGCAAGAAAAAGUCUUUCUUCUAUGAUUUCGAAAAAAAUUAAAGAGAGCCCUCUGGCAUCAAAUAUUAUCUUGGGAUUGUUUCUUCUUGUCUCUGAGAAGAUGCUGGACUCAGAAUUUCUGUGCCCUUGCCUUGAGGGAAAAUGGAAUUGUUUGUUUGUUUCUAUUUACUUUUUGUGUCCAGGAUUUACAGUCUCUGUUUUAAUGUAUUUUGUGCAUAGACAUGGCAGUUCCAUUUCCUUUCGUUUCAUCUUACGCACUUCAGUUCCUCUUCUCACAUGGGUCAUCAUACUGUUGCUUGAUGGCCGAUAUGUAGCUUGUGGCGCGACACACUGGCCUGGGAUUUAUGAAGCUACAGAUGGUAGUGGACUGCUGAGAUGGUGCAAACCAGACAACAACUCAUCUGAGAGGCUAAGCUACAUUCAAGAAGCGUACACAAUCUCUCAGAGCAUUGGACUUUUGCUCUGCAUUCCCUUUGGUCUGAGUGUGUCCUGUUGUUUGAUAAUCCCAUCAUUUAAAACAAAUCAGGAAGGGACAAAUUUGGAAUCAUGCAACCUGAAGAUGGAAUCUGCAUCAGCAGAUCAAAUCCCUUCUUAAGAGAAAACUGUUACAAAAAUGACACAUUUGUGAAUUGUUCCUCCACUUAUUCUGUAGAUUGUUAUCACGUGGUCAAAGUGAGUGACAAAAAGGUAUUGAGCCUUUUAAAACAUCAAUAAUAUGAGUUGGAGAAGGGUUACAUUUAUUGGUUAAAAAAUGCUUUUUUUAUUCCACAAUUAAUGUUUUGUAUGUAAAAUCCUUUUAAUGUCAAUAUGCUGGAUGUGAUUCAUGUUUACCUCUAACUUGUUGAUGAUGUUCAAUAAAUAAGAUCAUAACCACAUAUUUUUUUCAAUAAUUCAAUGUAAUACAAACUACUUUCUUUCAGAUGUACUUUUUUUAAAGUUUCAAUUUUUAAAGUUGAAACUUGUUCUGUUUUAUCACUUUUAUUGUUUUUGUAUUUCAUUGCUUUUACAGUACUUUUAUGGUGAUUUUAUUCUAUAUGACUGUUUUUCAUAUUUUACUGUCUUUUAUGUAUGUUUUUUGUGCUUAUAUUUGUAAAUAAAUAUCUUACCUCGUUAGAUCAUUAUGUUGGUUACGGUUCUCAUUCUUACUGGCUGUGAAGUCUUGAGGCUGAUUAACUGCAACUGGACGUGAAAAUCUUCUUCCUUUAAAAUGUUUUGAUCCUCAUCUAAAUGGCACAAAGUCAUCAUUCAGACUAUGACUCAACCUCAAGAAAAAGAUCAAUAGAGACUUCUAAUAUCACAGUCUCAGCAACCACAAUGCAGAGGUUCCAUGUGCCUUCAAAUUGUGUAUCAGCCUUUAUCAAGCUUUAGGCUACAGAUAACUCUCCGAAUGAGUAUGAUGC